AGGGUCUUAGGUUUUGUAUUUUUUUUUGAAAGGACAAGCCUUUAGUGGGUCUUUUAAAUGAUGUAUAGAAUAUUAGGAUUGAACUUAGGACUCGGGCUUUAGAAGAUGGCUUAAUUCUUUUCUGGAAAAGCAUCUGUACAGCUCACAUAUGCUUGUUUAGAUUGUAAAGAACUUAAGCCAUAUUGGUUUGUUAGGUUGGUGGCUCAAAUCAAACUUGAUUUUCAGCUAAGUUAAUCGAGUUUGGAAGUUGGGUCAGUGUCAAUUUUAUUUUGUCAAUAAAGUCUUUAAAUGCAUAACUGCCUAGAGUUCAAGCUUUAUAAUGACGGAAGUAAAUGAUGCUGCUAUUGAAAAAUCUAUUUGCAUUGAUGGCUCUAUUAUCUUUUAUCAUUGUACUUGGAUUCAAGAGUUUUUAGGUCUUUAUAUCUCUGUUAUAAUCCAUGUAUCACUAUUUAGUGCAAUGAGUUUUUAGGGAAUGCAGAAAGUGUAGUUUAUGAUUAUGAACCAUCUUUGGGCAUAGACUUUAGGCACUGAAAGUGAAAAUCACAAUCAUUGACACAUGGAUCUCUAACUGAAUGUGGAAGAAUUCAAAUGGGAACUUGGAAUGACCUUGCGUGUCAAUCUCUAAUUGUAAAAAGGCCUAUUGAGAGUUUCAAGUUUGAAAUUUAAAAAUAACUAUAGUUGCUUUGAAAAUUUGAAG
RNAcentral lists this unclassified non-coding RNA (697 nucleotides) under Hevea brasiliensis (rubber tree). Lineage: Eukaryota; Viridiplantae; Streptophyta; Magnoliopsida; Malpighiales; Euphorbiaceae. The record is from RNAcentral.